AUACGUAGGGGGCGAGCGUUGUCCGGAAUCAUUGGGCGUAAAGCGCGUGUAGGCGGCUCGGCAAGUCCGGUGUGAAAGCUCGAGGCUCAACCUCGAGUCUGCAUUGGAAACUGCCUUGCUAGAGUCCGGAAGAGGAGACUGGAAUUCCUGGUGUAGCGGUGAAAUGCGCAGAUAUCAGGAAGAACACCGGUGGCGAAGGCGGGUCUCUGGGACGGUACUGACGCUGAGACGCGAAAGCGUGGGGAGCAAACAGGAUUAGAUACCCUGGUAGUCCACGCCGUAAACGAUGGGCACUAGGUGUGGGAGGUGUCGACUCCUUCCGUGCCGAAGCUAACGCAUUAAGUGCCCCGCCUGGGGAGUACGGCCGCAAGGCUAAA
RNAcentral lists this ribosomal RNA (377 nucleotides) under uncultured bacterium. RNAcentral describes it as "bacterial SSU rRNA". It matches the Rfam family "Bacterial small subunit ribosomal RNA", at positions 523 to 898 of the family's 1533-position model. The record is from RNAcentral.